AACGCGAAGAACCUUACCAAAUCUUGACAUCGAUAGAAUCUGCUGGAAGCAGCGGAGUGCCCUUCGGGGAACUUGAAGACAGGUGGUGCAUGGUUGUCGUCAGCUCGUGUCGUGAGAUGUUGGGUUAAGUCCCGCAACGAGCGCAACCCCUACUGUAUGUUACUAACAGGUUAAGCUGAGGACUCAUAUGGGACUGCCGGUGUAAGCCGGAGGAAGGUGGGGAUGACGUCAAAUCAUCAUGCCCCUUAUGAUUUGGGCUACACACGUGCUACAAUGGGCAGUACAGAGGGAAGCUAAGCCGUGAGGUGGAGCGGAACCCAAAAAACUGCUCCCAGUUCGGAUUAUAGUCUGCAACUCGACUAUAUGAAGUUGGAAUCGCUAGUAAUCGCAGGUCAGCAUACUGCGGUGAAUACGUUCCCGGGCCUUGUACACACCG
Molecule: ribosomal RNA, 436 nt
Filed under: uncultured firmicute 10-8
Lineage: Bacteria
Description: bacterial SSU rRNA
Rfam family: Bacterial small subunit ribosomal RNA
Source: RNAcentral